GGUGGCUCAGUGGUAGAACGCUUGCCUCACAUGCAUGAGGACCUGAGUUCGAUUCCUCAGCACCA
RNAcentral lists this transfer RNA (65 nucleotides) under Dipodomys ordii (Ord's kangaroo rat). It matches the Rfam family "tRNA". From Rfam's summary of the family: Transfer RNA (tRNA) molecules are approximately 80 nucleotides in length. Lineage: Eukaryota; Metazoa; Chordata; Mammalia; Rodentia; Heteromyidae. The record is from Rfam by way of RNAcentral.